ACUUUAGUGUAAGUAUGUCCCAUGUACUUUUUGGGACAUACUUAUACUAAAA
RNAcentral lists this microRNA precursor (52 nucleotides) under Dipodomys ordii (Ord's kangaroo rat). RNAcentral describes it as "mir-1302 microRNA precursor family". It matches the Rfam family "mir-1302 microRNA precursor family". Lineage: Eukaryota; Metazoa; Chordata; Mammalia; Rodentia; Heteromyidae. The record is from Rfam by way of RNAcentral.